RNAcentral lists this long non-coding RNA (978 nucleotides) under Nicotiana benthamiana. RNAcentral describes it as "long non-coding RNA (NBEN_LNC002853)". The record is from RNAcentral. Lineage: Eukaryota; Viridiplantae; Streptophyta; Magnoliopsida; Solanales; Solanaceae.
UUGAGAGAUCAAUUAAACCCCAAAAAGAAAAAGAAAAAGAAAAUCUUCUCUUUCCUUCUUUCUCUGUAAAACCCACUCAGGAAUAGUAGCAGAAGUGACCACCAGUCGCCGAUUGUCGGAGAGCAUUCCCGGAGAUCAGUGAUCGAUAUCCGUCAAAAUCAUUUUUUUAUUUUUUGGUGUGUUCGGUAAAACCUUCUGUUUCUAUCUCAAGCAAUCUAAGGCUUUUAUUCAAUCCUCUUUCUUUUCGUUGUUCUGUUCUGAAAUUUGAAUGAAUUUUCAAUUCAAUGUUGCAGGAGUUUUCGUAGGGGAGGGGAAGUUGGAUAUGUCAAGGUUUCGCUCGCUACUGCAAGCAUCGCUGAAUGCUACUAGAAGAGGUAUUUCACCACUACCGAUCUGAUUCCUUUCUAGUUUUAGCAGAUGCUUUUCAUUUCUAUUUCUUGUUACCAAAUACUUCGAGGAUUUGAUGUUCGUCCAUUUCGUUAUCCUCUUAGUUGAUACGAGACGGAAUAUAUAUUGAUCCCAGCCUGUGAUGCGAAAAUGCAGAACAACUGAAAAACUCGCAGAAAAUACCAAAAGCAGUGAGAACUUCGAAAUGACUAGGCUAUGAACUGACGAAUGAGCUAAGAGAAUCUAAAUUGGCAGCCAAAGAAUGAGUUUAAUUGAUAUGGAUUGGUAUAUAUACUACAGAUAGAGCAACUAAGAAUCUUGAUUGAUAUCUACUCAGUUACAAAUGAAAUCCCAGCUAACUCGUAAACACUUCUCCUUCCAAAUUCACCUCACUGCCACAAGCAAAACACCUUAUAUGUGCUGCACUUAAGAUACAUCUUGGUUAAUUGCAUUCGCCAUUUAAGAAAAAGGCAGCAUAGACAUUUAAUGAGAAUGCUUGAAUGGGAAUCGUUUUAGCAACUGACUAUAGAUUCGAGUCUAAACCGCCGGUAGAGGAGAGACCAUUUUCAUGAGAGAGGGACCAGCAAGUGA